Molecule: ribosomal RNA, 84 nt
Filed under: Verrucomicrobiota bacterium
Lineage: Bacteria; Pseudomonadati; Verrucomicrobiota
Source: RNAcentral
UCCCAUUCCGAACCCGGAAGUGAAACGCCGCAGCGCCGAUGGUAGUGGGACGAUAGGUCCUGUGAGAGUAGGUCGUCGCCAGGU